ACAGGUGUAGCUCAAUUGGUAGAGCAGCCGUCUCCAAAGCGGCCGGUUGUGGGUUCGACUCCCUCCGCCUGUG
Molecule: transfer RNA, 73 nt
Filed under: bacterium
Lineage: Bacteria
Description: tRNA-Trp
Rfam family: tRNA
About the family: Transfer RNA (tRNA) molecules are approximately 80 nucleotides in length. Their secondary structure includes four short double-helical elements and three loops (D, anti-codon, and T loops). Further hydrogen bonds mediate the characteristic L-shaped molecular structure. tRNAs have two regions of fundamental functional importance: the anti-codon, which is responsible for specific mRNA codon recognition, and the 3' end, to which the tRNAs corresponding amino acid is attached (by aminoacyl-tRNA synthetases). tRNAs cope with the degeneracy of the genetic code in two manners: having more than one tRNA (with a specific anti-codon) for a particular amino acid; and 'wobble' base-pairing, i.e. permitting non-standard base-pairing at the 3rd anti-codon position.
Source: RNAcentral